GACGCCGCGUGGGGGAUGACGGCCUUCGGGUUGUAAACCCCUUUCAGUAGGGAAGAAGCGAGAGUGACGGUACCUGCAGAAGAAGCGCCGGCUAACUACGUGCCAGCAGCCGCGGUAAUACGUAGGGCGCAAGCGUUGUCCGGAAUUAUUGGGCGUAAAGAGCUUGUAGGUGGCUUGUCGCGUCUGCCGUGAAAACCCGAGGCUCAACCUCGGGCGUGCGGUGGGUACGGGCAGGCUAGAGUGUGGUAGGGGAGACUGGAACUCCUGGUGUAGCGGUGAAAUGCGCAGAUAUCAGGAAGAACACCGAUGGCGAAGGCAGGUCUCUGGGCCAUUACUGACACUGAGAAGCGAAAGCAUGGGUAGCGAACAGGAUUAGAUACCCUGGUAGUCCAUGCCGUAAACGUUGGGCACUAGGGGUGGGGGACAUUCCACGUUUUCCGCGCCGUAGCUAACGCAUUAAGUGCCCCGCCUGGGGAGUACGGCCGCAAGGCUAAAACUCAAAGGAAUUGACGGGGGCCCGCACAAGCGGCGGAGCAUGCUGAUUAAUUCGAUGCAACGCGAAGAACCUUACCAAGGCUUGACAUGCACUGGACGGCUGCAGAGAUGUGGCUUUCUUUGGACUGGUGCACAGGUGGUGCAUGGUUGUCGUCAGCUCGUGUCGUGAGAUGUUGGGUUAAGUCCCGCAACGAGCGCAACCCUCGUUCUAUGUUGCCAGCACGUGAUGGUGGGGACUCAUAGGAGACUGCCGGGGUCAACUCGGAGGAAGGUGGGGACGACGUCAAAUCAUCAUGCCCCUUAUG
RNAcentral lists this ribosomal RNA (800 nucleotides) under Brachybacterium sp. PB64. RNAcentral's name for it is "bacterial SSU rRNA". It matches the Rfam family "Bacterial small subunit ribosomal RNA", at positions 393 to 1206 of the family's 1533-position model. Lineage: Bacteria; Bacillati; Actinomycetota; Actinomycetes; Micrococcales; Dermabacteraceae. The record is from RNAcentral.